AUGGAUGAAGAUAUGCACUGGGCUCCGAGCAGUGAACAUCGCUGCGGUCUGAUGAGAUGCAUUUGCCUAGAAAGCAUUGUCUGACAG
Non-coding RNA from Triticum aestivum (bread wheat), 87 nucleotides. NCBI's taxonomy places the organism in Eukaryota, Viridiplantae, Streptophyta, Magnoliopsida, Poales, Poaceae. The record is from Rfam.